CCAAGGAAUCUAUGAGUCCGUAGGUUUCAAACCCAUGAGGUGCAAGGAAACUGAAUUGUUUGAUCCCCCCUCUGGGGAGCAACAUGGACCGACCUUGAUUUUUUGUGAAGGUUUGAGUUUGAGCAUACCUGUUAGGACCCGAAAGAUGGUGAACUAUGUCUCAGCAGAGCAAAGCCAAAGGAAACUCUGGUGGAGGCCUAUAACAAUACUGAUAUGUAAGUCGUUUGUCAAACUCGGGGUGAAAGAUUAAUUGAACCAUCUAGUAGUUAG
This 270-nucleotide non-coding RNA is filed under the name Selaginella moellendorffii. Its description in RNAcentral is "Eukaryotic large subunit ribosomal RNA". It matches the Rfam family "Eukaryotic large subunit ribosomal RNA", at positions 666 to 954 of the family's 3401-position model. The record is from Rfam by way of RNAcentral. Lineage: Eukaryota; Viridiplantae; Streptophyta; Lycopodiopsida; Selaginellales; Selaginellaceae.